GCCGCCCUAUGGGACUCCCAAUCACGACCGGAUGCGAUACAGCCUGGAUUCGAAUUAGCCCUGCCACCUCCAGGCCCCUCCACAGUUCCACUCACAGCGGCACCACCAACUCCACUGCCCCCUCACAGGAUUGGACAGUUUUUGGGGUGGGAGAUGGAGGUCCUCGACACUUCUGGCUCUCCUUAAUGGGAACCCUGGUGGUCUUUCCUCCUUUGGCUGGUCUGAUGCAGAAUCCCCUGAUGGUUGACUUCUGUGUUACACCGCUCAAGUGUGUGGCUGGCCUCGGUCUCACCUGUACGCAGAGAGGAUGAUCUCUGGUCUGGGAAUGGAUCAGUUGCUUCCUCUGGCCAGGCAAGACUGUGGGCAAUGUUGUCCACUUCCAGAACCAACUGAGAAUGGCUCAGCUGUUGAUGGUUGAAUGAUGUUGAAAGGUUUGAUUUGAAGAUUAAACAGAACACAAUUAUAACUUCAUUGUCUUCCCAAACCAGCUCUAACAUCUCUAUACACAUGACUUUUUGUGUACAUAACCUUGUAUGUGUGCAAACUUGUGAUUACAAUGUUUCUGUCAUUAUUACAGAAUGUCAUGUAAAGGACCCUUAAAUGUUUUCAUUUCAAAUUGUUUUAACUGGAUAAGAAUGGAUGAUUUAAAAUGUGAUAAUUCAUUAUAGAAAGACCCAAAAGCAUUCCCACCGACCUCUGCGAGUCUGCUCUGUUGUGGAGCGUAGUGUGGCUGUUGUGAUGCUGUCUUCACGGUGACAGCACAGGACAUUAAGUGAUUUCCAAUUGCUGAUGGCAUUACCUUCUGAUCAAAUCAGCAUUAAAACAACUUUCAUACUAACAACAA
Molecule: long non-coding RNA, 844 nt
Organism: Oncorhynchus tshawytscha (Chinook salmon)
Lineage: Eukaryota; Metazoa; Chordata; Actinopteri; Salmoniformes; Salmonidae
Exons: 2
Source: RefSeq, a predicted model, not a curated record